AUGGCUGUCGUCAGCUCGUGUCGUGAGAUGUUGGGUUAAGUCCCGCAACGAGCGCAACCCUUGUCCUAUGUUGCCAGCGCGUAAUGGCGGGGACUCGUAGGAGACUGCCGGGGUCAACUCGGAGGAAGGUGGGGACGACGUCAAGUCAUCAUGCCCCUUACGUCCAGGGCUGCACACAUGCUACAAUGGCCGGUACAGAGGGCUGCUAUCCCGCGAGGGUGAGCGAAUCCCAAAAAGCCGGUCUCAGUUCGGAUUGCAGUCUGCAACUCGACUGCAUGAAGUUGGAGUUGCUAGUAAUCCCGGAUCAGCAACGCCGGGGUGAAUACGUUCCCGGGCCUUGUACACACCGCCCGUCAAACCACGAAAGUCGGCAACACCCGAAGCCGGUCACCCAACCACUCUGUGGAGGGAGCCGUCGAAGGUGGGGUCGGUGAUUGGGGUUAAGUCGUAACAAGGUAGCCGUACCGGAAGGUGCGGCUGGAUCACCUCCUUUCUAAGGAGUCAUCGUUCAAGUAGCUCUCAGCAUUUGCCGGGAGUCUUGAGAACUCCCAGUCGAUCACUGAUUAUUCGGCGCUUUUUCCACUUACAGUCUGCGGUAUUGACGACUUCGGUCGACAACCCCCAGCUGUGAGCAAUAAAAGCGGUGGACUGUUCCUGUUCCGUUUUCAGGGAGCGGCGAAAGCGCCCCUUGAGAACUCCAUAGCGAGCACGAGCAUCUAAUUCUCCAAGCUACAAAGAGCCAACGGCGGAUGCCUUGGCGCCUGAAGCCGAUGAAGGACGUGGGUGGCUGCGAAAAGCCGCGGGGAGCUGUCUACCAAGCUUCGAUCCGCGGAUGUCCGAAUGGGGAAACCCGG
Molecule: small RNA, 854 nt
Filed under: uncultured Acidimicrobiales bacterium
Lineage: Bacteria; Bacillati; Actinomycetota; Acidimicrobiia; Acidimicrobiales
Description: bacterial SSU rRNA
Rfam family: Bacterial small subunit ribosomal RNA (bases 1-493)
Source: RNAcentral